Molecule: ribosomal RNA, 253 nt
Filed under: uncultured bacterium
Lineage: Bacteria
Description: partial 16S ribosomal RNA
Rfam family: Bacterial small subunit ribosomal RNA
Source: RNAcentral
UACGGGGGGGGCAAGCGUUGUUCGGAAUUACUGGGCGUAAAGGGCUCGUAGGCGGCCAACUAAGUCAGACGUGAAAUCCCUCGGCUUAACCGGGGAACUGCGUCUGAUACUGGAUGGCUUGAGUUUGGGAGAGGGAUGCGGAAUUCCAGGUGUAGCGGUGAAAUGCGUAGAUAUCUGGAGGAACACCGGUGGCGAAGGCGGCGACCUGGGUCGACACUGACGCUGAGGCGCGAAAGCGUGGGGAGCAAACAGG